RNAcentral lists this ribosomal RNA (505 nucleotides) under uncultured bacterium. Its description in RNAcentral is "partial 16S ribosomal RNA". It matches the Rfam family "Bacterial small subunit ribosomal RNA", at positions 28 to 507 of the family's 1533-position model. The record is from RNAcentral.
GACGAACGCUGGCGGCGUGCCUAAUACAUGCCAGUAGAACGCACAGUUUAUACCGUAGCUUGCUACACCAUAGACUGUGAGUUGCGAACGGGUGAGUAACGCGUAGGUAACCUGCCUGGUAGCGGGGGAUAACUAUUGGAAACGAUAGCUAAUACCGCAUAAUAUUGAUUAUUGCAUGAUAAUUAAUUGAAAGGUGCAAUUGCACCACUACCAGAUGGACCUGCGUUGUAUUAGCUAGUAGGUGAGGUAACGGCUCACCUAGGCGACGAUACAUAGCCGACCUGAGAGGGUGAUCAGCCACACUGGGACUGAGACACGGCCCAGACUCCUACGGGAGGCAGCAGUAGGGAAUCUUCGGCAAUGGACGAAAGUCUGACCGAGCAACGCCGCGUGAGUGAAGAAGGUUUUCGGAUCGUAAAGCUCUGUUGUAAGAGAAGAACGGGUGUGAGAGUGGAAAGUUCACACUGUGACGGUAUCUUACCAGAAAGGGACGGCUAACUACGUG